This 279-nucleotide unclassified non-coding RNA is filed under the name fungal sp. RNAcentral describes it as "partial internal transcribed spacer region". The stretch from base 1 to 46 matches the Rfam family "Eukaryotic small subunit ribosomal RNA", at positions 1786 to 1831 of the family's 1831-position model. The record is from RNAcentral. Lineage: Eukaryota; Fungi.
AAGUCGUAACAAGGUUUCCGUAGGUGAACCUGCGGAAGGAUCAUUAAAAGAUAUGACAUGUCCCUUGUGGAUAUUACCAAUCAACCCAUUCUGAGUACCUUACCUGUUGCUUCCACACAGUGUCUGUGCAUUAGUACUGACAUCCUGAUGAUAGGUGAAAGCCUAUCGGAGGGAGAUGUGUGGAGGGUAUACUUAUAAACUCUUGCAUUACCAUGUAUUCUGUCUGAUAAUGUUUAAUAUAAACUAUUAAAACUUUCAACAACGGAUCUCUUGGUUCUC